RNAcentral lists this long non-coding RNA (3527 nucleotides) under Sus scrofa (pig). RNAcentral describes it as "lncRNA (ENSSSCG00005044158.1)". The record is from RNAcentral. Lineage: Eukaryota; Metazoa; Chordata; Mammalia; Artiodactyla; Suidae.
CGCUAUCCGGGGCCCAGCAAGUGUCGGCAGGAGCAUCCGAUCAAACCAGGAUGGGAGAGACACAGACCACGAGAAAGGGCUGUGAGGGCGACCCGCCGUACCCUGCCCUGGAGUCAGUGACGCUUACUGCCUCAGAGAACUCAGGAAUGGGAGCUCUCAUUUGGUUUACAGACUUCGGUGUCUGCAUACUACUCUGCCUCCUGGCUUCUUACACAAACCUGUACUUUCCUGAGAGAGAAUACUUCUUAGAAGAUCCAGACUAUACUCCAAACUUCCUGGCUUCAUAAAUCAUGGCUGUGUACGAGUUCCUGUCAUGGCACAGCAGAAACGAAUCCGACUAGGAACCAUGAGGUUGCGGGUUCAAUCCUGGCCUCGCUCAGUAGGUUAAGGAUCUGGUGUUGCCAUAAGCUGUAUUGUAGGUCGCAGAUGUGGUUCAGCUGUGGCAUAGGCCGGCGGCAACAGCUCCAAUUAGAUCUCUAGCCUGGGAACCUCCAUAUGCCACGGGUGCAUCCCUAUAAGGACAAUCAAUCAAUCAAUCAAUCAUGGCUGUGAAGAAGAACUUGAGUAAACUUGGACCUAUUUUACAAACCCAUUUAAUUCUGCUAAUGAUGAAGAAUAAAUCAAAUGUGAUGUCAGCAUUUCUAACCUGACCUGGAAUAACUCAGAAAACCCAAUGAACACUGAUAACCAGGCUGAUGGACAGACUUUGGCUGGGCCUUCCCAUGCAUUCUUAUCUGCUCCCUCAACCUCUGGGAUGGAGCUCCUGAAGCUUGGAUCCCUGAAUUGACUGACUCUGCUGCCUGGGAUGAUGAGAGCCUCUCUGCCUGUGUUAUGAUGGUCUUCACUGUGUUUCCUCCUGUGUUUGAAUCAUCUUUGUAUCUGGUGCUCAUCUAGGCUCUACAAGGAUCCAUGUUUCAGCUGUGCCACUUCCCAAAUGGGAUCUUAGCAACUGACUUAGGCUCACAAAGCCUCCAUUUCCUAGCCUGCAAAGUUAGAAUAAUAGUAGUUCUCAUUGUAGCUCAGUAGGUUCAGAAUCCAACAUGUGUCCAUGAGGAUGCAAAUUCAAUCCCUGGCCUCUAUCAGGGGGUUAAAGAUCCAACAUCACCACAAGCCACGGCAUAGGUCGAAGAUAAGGCUUGCUGUGGCGUAGGCCAGCAGCUACAGCUCCAAUUCAACCUGUAGCCCUGGGAACUUCCAUAUGCCACGGGUGCAGACAUUAAAAAAAAAAAAAAAAAGGUUAUAAUAUUAGCCUCUCUUAACUGGGUGGGGGUGUGUGUUUGGUUGUGAGAGUGGAGUGGCUAAUGUAAGUAAAACAUACCAACAAGUGCCUGGCAUACACAUGACCAACUUUUUUUUUUCUUCUUUUUUUAGAGCCACACCCACAGCAAAUGGAAGUUUCCAGGCUAGGGGUUGAAUCAGAGCUGCAGCUGCUGGCCUACACCACAGCCACGGCCAUGCCAGAUCCGAGCCAUGUCUGCAACCUACACCACAGUAUAUGUCAACACCAGAUCCUUAACCUACUGAGCAAGGCCAGGGAUUGAACCUGCAUCUUCAUGGAUAUUAGUCAGAUUCAUUUGCACUGAGCCACGACAGGAACUCUGUCACAUGAUCAACUUUAUUAUUAAUUGGUUCUCUGGUGGGUGAUCUUGAGGUAGGAGGUAGAUGAGCCCCUGGGCUGAAAACAGCUGGGACUUGUUAAGCCAAGUAGAUUGGGCCUUGCCUCUCUAACACCUCAAGAAGAAAGUUAAGAGCUGGAGCUGAGCUCUACUAGAGUAGAAAGAUAAGAUUGACCACUUCAUUCGAUCCUGGUGUCAAGAAGAGCUCCCCAAUAACCCAUGCACAGUAAGACCCCUAAGGAUCAAAAAAAGGAGGGGGCACCAGACCAUAAUUAAGCCCUGAUACUGUCCCAGCAUCCCUUGCUCUGGAAUCCGUCUUUGCCAAAAGAUGUACAUGCAUUAAGGGGAGGGGCCUGUGUCCAGUCAGGUGUGAGAAAUAAAACAAGAUAUAUGGCCAAAGGUAAACAAACACCCAGGAGUACUGUCCUGUAUAAGUGAGUUAAAUCACCUCUCUAGUGCACUGCUCACUCGGGGACAGCCGCGCCUGCACUCCCCUUCAGGUGUGUAUUAUUUCUUUGCUUCUGACUUAAAUAAAAACUACUUCUCUGUGUGCUCUCCCACAUGUUGUACAAUAAACUUUAUACCUGUUUUCACAAUCUAUGCCUCUUUGAAACAUUCUUGCUGUCAACAGUGGCCAAGAAUUACAGCAACUCUGCUCUCAGCCUCUAGCUAGUCUUAGUGGCUAGGAUUCCUGUUUUUUAUCCAGGCUGUCCAGGUUCAAUUCCUGAGCAGAGAAUUGAGAUCUCAAUUCAAGCCAUCACUCACUGCUGUCUGUUGGAGAUCACUCUGGGAUUUGGGUUUUUUUCUGCCACAUCUUCUCUCCCGGAAAAGCAUGUAUACAGGCACUAUGGGCAGGCCAGUGACCUGACCUUGGCCCAACCUUGGCCAUUUUGGUUCACGGAUACCAGUCAGUGUGGGCUGAGCCACUUGAAAGCAGGGUAGAGAAGGAUGUUUUUUAUCUGUUUUGGUAGAUGCUAUAGGAGCUGUGGCUUUGCACAGAUUUAAGUCAACCUGCCCCUGGUUCCAAUGGGGAUAAUUAGCCCUACCCAGCCAGUGGGCCUGGGGAGUUGCCCUCCUCGGAGUGAAUUCCUGGCUGUUAGCAGACCUCCAGGGUCUCUGCUGUCUUGGUGACAAAGGACACAGUACAGUGGACCCAGGAGGACCUGGAAGUUUGGGUUAAUGGUACCCCAAUCUUCCUUUCAAAAUCUCAGUUUCUCAGUUUUGAGAAACAUCCCCAGGAUGUUCACUAGGCUUGACUUCAUGACAAGUGAAUGAGCAAACCUCUCAGCUGUGUGAUAUGUCUGGUGCCAUUCCCUCCUGGGUCCAGCUACUGCCCAGCCAGGGACAAGAUAGACUUGGAGACCCUGAGGAAGUUUCCCAGCCCCCUAAACUUCACUUGCCAAAGAUAUUUUCUUCCACUUCAGUGUGACAUAUGACACAUGGCAGUCAUUUUGCAGAAAGACCAGAUGGGAGGAGAAUUGGUUCACAUGCCAAAAUAGAGCUGAUGGAUGGACACAUGUCCACUUACUUAUCCAGUCUGUGCUCUCACUUACAAAAGAUUGGCGGGUGGGGAGUUCCUGUCGUGGCACAGCAGAAAAGAAUCUGACAAGGAACCAUGAGGUUUUGGGUUCGAUCCCUGGCCUUGUUCAGUGGGUUAAGGAUCCAGCAUUGCUGUGAACUGUGGUGUAGGUCGCAGAUGCAGCUCAGAUCCUGUGUUGCUGUGGCUGUGGUGUAGGCUGGCAGCUACAGCUCCAAUUUGACCCCUAGCCUGGGAACCUCUACAUGCCAUGGGUGCAGCCCUAAAAAGCAAAAAAACAAAAACAAAAACAAAACAAAACAAAAAACGGAGGAAAAAUGAAAUGGGGGGAGGUUAAUACAUCCACAUAGGAAAAGGCCCAGUCAGAGCCAGCC